UGCGGGAGAGAGCGGUGGUUGCUCGUCAGGCUCAUAACCUGAAGGCCGUUGGUUCGAAUCCAACUCCCGCAACAA
Molecule: transfer RNA, 75 nt
Rfam family: tRNA
About the family: Transfer RNA (tRNA) molecules are approximately 80 nucleotides in length. Their secondary structure includes four short double-helical elements and three loops (D, anti-codon, and T loops). Further hydrogen bonds mediate the characteristic L-shaped molecular structure. tRNAs have two regions of fundamental functional importance: the anti-codon, which is responsible for specific mRNA codon recognition, and the 3' end, to which the tRNAs corresponding amino acid is attached (by aminoacyl-tRNA synthetases). tRNAs cope with the degeneracy of the genetic code in two manners: having more than one tRNA (with a specific anti-codon) for a particular amino acid; and 'wobble' base-pairing, i.e. permitting non-standard base-pairing at the 3rd anti-codon position.